GUAAAUGUAGUUUAAAUAAAACGCUGGGUUGUGGGCCCAAAGAUGAAAGUUAAACCCUUUUCAUUCACC
Molecule: transfer RNA, 69 nt
Filed under: Solenostomus paradoxus (harlequin ghost pipefish)
Lineage: Eukaryota; Metazoa; Chordata; Actinopteri; Syngnathiformes; Solenostomidae
Description: tRNA-His
Rfam family: tRNA
About the family: Transfer RNA (tRNA) molecules are approximately 80 nucleotides in length.
Source: RNAcentral